CCUCAGGUAGUCAAGUGGUCUAAGACAGAGGUCUGUAAAACCUUGAUGCGAUGGUUCGAAUCCAUCCCUGAGGA
This 74-nucleotide transfer RNA is filed under the name bacterium. Its description in RNAcentral is "tRNA-Tyr". It matches the Rfam family "tRNA". From Rfam's summary of the family: Transfer RNA (tRNA) molecules are approximately 80 nucleotides in length. Their secondary structure includes four short double-helical elements and three loops (D, anti-codon, and T loops). The record is from RNAcentral.